AACAACAAAGUGCAGGAAACAUGUACUGGGUCACUGAAAAAAUAUAAUCACUUGCUCAACAUAAUCUUAAGAGUUUCAUGAUUUUGUUUUGGUAGGUAAAUACAACGUUUUAUUGCACGUUAAACUACUUAAGAAAUGCAGGUCGGGAUUGUAUUCCAUAUAUUUCUGAGAUGUUCUUUACUUUCUUGCCCAUCCAGCAAUAGUUACUUCUAUAAAUCCAAGACCAUGCAAUAAAGCUAGGAAACAAUGGUACAUGGAAGAAAAAAUGGACUUCAGCUUCCUCUAAGCACACGUAACAUCUUAAGCAUAUGAUUUCACUAGCAUGUGGGAGGUUUGCUCGAGUUAGGUCAUUAUGACAUGUAGUCCACUCCAAGAAAAUUAACUCUGGUGCUGCUUUGCUUUGCCAAAUACACCUCCAAGUUCUUGUUCCAAAUGAGUCAGUAGUUUUAAACAGAUAACAGGACUUUAUCAACUGAGAAAAAAUUGUAGGUAUUUCUAUUCCAUUUAACAGAAUCAGGUUCACUACAUCACUACGUAGAGAGCCCGACUGCUUCAAGAAUUUCUGUAAAAGACGAAGUUCUUUCUAUUCUCUAUUUACUGCAGUUUCUCUUGAAAGCAAAUUCCUACCCUAAUUAAUCUUGCAUCGAGCAAUGGUUCUAUCUAAAUCUGCCACCAUUUCUUGUAACAAGAUCAAUAAGUAAUUAUGGAUUAAAAAAAAUCCAUCUCAGCAACAAUUCCAUGUAAGAAUACUUUUACAUUUUAUGUCUGAAAAGAUAAAAAUUUAGAAGAUUUCUCACUAAUGUAUAACUUAGAAAUAUGUAAAGCUAUAAAGUUGAAAGUAAAACUGAAAGAGAGAGUUCUUAGUACAUAGAAAAGUAUAAAAGGUUGAAUAAAUGAAUACAAAAUAUUUUUUUAUAGAAAAGAAGGACCAGAAGCAUAAGGGAUGAUGAAAACAAGAGAUACAUGAUUUGACCAAUCAGAGGACAAAGAAGUGCAGAAGAAAUUGUAAAGCAAGAAAUAACCAAUUCCAAGUUUUAAGAAAGAAGCUUUGACAACAUUACAUUAGAUGCAGAAACUAUAGGUUAUGCCAAAUAUAUAGAAGCACUUAUCAAAAUUAAGAAUGAAUGCCAAAAAUAUGUAAUCGCUUUCAACUCCGCACUUCAAGAAGGAAGAGAUGCAAAUUCAACUUGCAUAAACUUGAAAAUAGUAGUUAAAAGAGGAUUUUCCCUUCGUUUGAUUGAAAGGAAGGAUCUAAGAUUUGAGAAAUAGUCUUGCAAAUUUGGCCUACAUUUGUUAAGUCCACAUUUGACAAAAGUUUUAAGUACUUGCAAUGUUUACCAAUUUAGACAACUGAUUUUUUUUAAGAAGUCACAAUUUCAUUUAUAAAUUAAACAACAACACAAGCAAUACAGUUCAUGAAGUAUGAAGCAAAUCUGCAGUUGAGCUAGAAGAAAACCACACAAAUCGUAAUUGAUCCAAAAAUAAAAGCAUUUCUCUGAAGGCACCAAAAUAGCAAGGAAUGGUAGAAAAUUAGAGUAGACAACAAUAAUCUCCUUCAAGAAAAAAAUAAGAUAAGGAAAAAGCACUGGCUCCUAUUUUUUUAAUGGGUAAUCAUCCCCUAAACGGAUAUUUUUGUCAAUGCUAUACUGAUAAAUUAGUAGUGUAUAUUUUUAAUGCUUUUCCUUGAAGAGAAAAAGAUACAAAAGGGGAAAAUAAGAAGAUAGAAAGAGCUUUAAGGAAGAUAAUUGUGAUUGUUUCUGUUCUUCGAAACCCCCAGCGAUAGAAAGUUAUCUAUGAAACUCAUUUAAAGACAGUUUGGAAAAUAUUGUACAACGAAGAAAAAAUGCCAUGUAGCUAAGAGCUUAAAAUAAUAGAUAGGCUUAAAAUAAGAGCCAAGGAGAAAGCUUUUUAGACAGACUUGUAAGUCAGCCAAGCAAAGUGCCUCACGAAUAAUAUUAAGAGAGCUUUCCCUAGAUUGUUGCUAUCCACAUUUUACCUCAGAUUAGAAAGGAUACACAAUCUUAAAAUCAAGCAUGAAGUUUUUUGUUCUUUCAAGUAUUAAGAAUUCCAAAACACUUCUUAACAUUAUAAAUUGGGAAAUAUAAACUGAAUUCCUAUCAAAUCAUGGUUUGGCGACCUCAAGUUUCAUGACAAAAGUUGCUCACACUCAAAUACAAAGAUUCUUGGUGUACUACUCUUUUCUUCAUAUGAAAAUUUGGUCUUUGUAUCUAAAUAUUAAAGUGUUGCUGUGUACACACAAACAUAAAAAAAUAUUGUAGAAUGUCUUAGCUUUUGUGCUUAAUUUCUAGCAUCGUAUACAAAAUUUAGUUAUUUCAUUUUGAAAUGGCGAGGGUUUUGUAGGCAUUGGGAGAAAAUUAAAAUAUGCCAAUAAUAGACAUUUUAGAAAUCAGAAAGAAUGCUAACAUUUCGUUACAUUUAAAAUUUUGUAAAUAAUCUAUCUACAAAUAAGCCUAUGAAAAAAAUUAUUAUAGGGUUGGUACAGUGAAGUACUAUACAUUGCAUCGCAUGAAGCCAUAAUUAAAGCAAUAUUUACUUUCACAUGCAGUAAAAGAAAUAAAUUACCCACAAAAUAUGGUUAAAGACCUGAAACAAAGAUACUACGUGAUGUCUUGCUUGUGGAAUGGCGACAAGAUGACUAAAAUAACACAAUUAUAAUAGUACAAUAAUAACAAAUACGAUCGAUUCAUUUUACUGAGCUGGCGUCUUAAUAUUGCAUAAACACAUUGCACUGUGCUUAUAUUUUUCGCAUACCCAGUUUCUCUUUAUGCGUUGUUUGAGGAUUGAUAGUUGAAAUAGACCAAGAAAAUAGUUAAAACGGAUAGCAUGAAUAUGUGCAACUAUCCAUUUAGGAUCAUAAAGUAUUUCCUAACAUAACAGAAAGGAUAAGAGGAGAUAGUACGUAUUUCUUCUUGAAACAUAAAAAAGUAAACAAGGAUUUCCAUUUUUAUUCUGCUAAGCUUCAAAAUUUACCUUAGCAACUCUUAUUCCAACACAGUUCUACAAGAAUAAAUAUAGCGGCAUCCUUGAUGCCUGCAACGAAAAAUAUUUCAGCUAAUUACUCAUUUAAAAUGACCAAAGCCUUUAAUCCGUCAAAAGAUAAAGGAGACAAAAAAAUAUCAAAACUAAAGAGCACUUUAAUGGAAUUCAGCAUACGCUCGCAACCCAUUUAUAAAUACCACAACCUCUUAUGUCUCAAAGAUAAUGGAGACUGAAUAAAAAGGAUUCGACCUAGAACUAACAGUAAGUACUUUUCUUCUUUCUCAUGAUUUGGGAGCUUAGUCCAUAUCAUUUCAGGAUGAUAUGUCAAUUAAACAUUGCAGUGGACAAAACUAACAGUUGGCUAAAUGUAAACGUUUGUUAAAUGUUGUCUGAUUAAAAUCUCCAUAUGGUGAGUGUUUUCAACCAUGUCACUACAAUAUUGAUGAACAAAUUCCCAUAUCAACAUGUUCAUAUUCAACAUAAAGAGUUAGUUCCAGAAUUUGUCACAUGCGUGUCUUAGGAAAUCAACUAAAAGUCAUUAUAUUAUGUUUAAUAACCCAAUGAUGUUAGACUUGCAGCAAGGUAUGUGCCACACCUCUAGACAACAUUACACCAUAAGACAUUAGAAGAAGUCAUCAAAGGUUUCAUUAGCAAACUUAACAUAUUUAGCAACCUAUAAUAUGGGUCCAAUGUAAAAAAAAAUAGAGAACAAGAAAAAACGAAAGAAAGAAAAGAAACAAGCAAUAGAGGUAGUCCUAGAUAAAUACAUUAGAACAAAAUCAAGGAAAGCAGCAUUGAUGCAAUGCGGAUUGCCAGUACAACUAUUGAUCGUUCUAGUAAGCCACAACACACUAAUGAAAAGAUACCUACCUCUAAGAUGCAGGAUAUCACUUCUUUUGAUGGUAGCAUAAUGAUACACCAAUUGCAUGGAAAAUGUAAGUCCUGUAAAUACAAAGAUUAGUUAAAAAUAUUCAUAUGCACAUUCAUAUAAUACUAAAAGAUAGAAGAGCACAUGCCAAUAAAUAUUCAUAUCUUUGCAUAGAUUACAAAAAUUAUGAUGCUCAACUAUACCACAUCCAUUAACUGCUCGUCAUCAGAGCUCAAGUAUCAACGAAACCCCUUUCAUUCCAUUUCAGAUAAGAUUUAAACAUGUCACAUGUGCCCAAUAAAGAUUGGAUUUUUAUAGGGUUUAAAUGAAAAUAUAUGAGAAAUAUCCAGAGACUACAGACUUUGAUUUCUAAUCUAAGAAUACCUUAAGGUGAGAAUCCUAAAAAAAUUUACCACUAAAUCAACUAAGCAGCCUGAAGAAUAGAAAAAAGCACCGAAGAAAGUUGAGAAACACUCCAAAACAAAAAGCUCACACUUAUAAGAAGCGAAGGAGAACUCUGAAGUUGAGCAAUAAACGUAUCACAAGAGAACAAGGGCUAAAAGGGAUACCUGAUGAGCAGCGGAUAUUUGAAGAGAGUGACAUGAAAUUCAGCAGCAUUUGUUUCCUUAAAAUUCAGUCUUGCACAAUACUAAAUAUUCUUUGCCUAAUAGUAACCAAAAAUUAGCAAAGCAAUCAGAAAUUCGAUAAAUUGCACAUGACCUAGAAGCUAUUUUCCCCAAAAUAAGACCUUCACUAAUUCUAUAUUCUUUAGAAUAUGGAAUGAACAAGGACAUAGAAGAGAGAAUGAACGAAUAUAUUAAGAAAGUAGUGUUUCAGAA
This 4707-nucleotide long non-coding RNA is filed under the name Nicotiana tabacum (common tobacco). Its description in RNAcentral is "long non-coding RNA (NTAB_LNC011967)". Lineage: Eukaryota; Viridiplantae; Streptophyta; Magnoliopsida; Solanales; Solanaceae. The record is from RNAcentral.